AUUGAACGCUGGCGGCAGGCUUAACACAUGCAAGUCGAGCGGGGGAAGGUAGCUUGCUACCGGACCUAGCGGCGGACGGGUGAGUAAUGCUUAGGAAUCUGCCUAUUAGUGGGGGACAACAUCUCGAAAGGGAUGCUAAUACAGCAUACGUCCUACGGGAGAACGCAGGGGAUCUUCGGACCUUGCGCUAAUAGAUGAGCCUAAGUCGGAGUAGCUAGUUGGUGGGGUAAAGGCCUACCAAGGCGACGAUCUGUAGCGGGUCUGAGAGGAUGAUCCGCCACACUGGGACUGAGACACGGCCCAGACUCCUACGGGAGGCAGCAGGGGGGAAUAUUGGACAAUGGGGGGAACCCUGAUCCAGCCAUGCCGCGUGUGUGAAGAAGGCCUUAUGGUUGUAAAGCACUUUAAGCGAGGAGGAGGCUACUCUAGUUAAUACCUAGGGAUAGUGGACGUUACUCGCAGAAUAAGCACCGGCUAACUCUGUGCCAGCCGCCGCAGUAA
This 501-nucleotide ribosomal RNA is filed under the name uncultured bacterium. RNAcentral describes it as "partial 16S ribosomal RNA". It matches the Rfam family "Bacterial small subunit ribosomal RNA", at positions 30 to 523 of the family's 1533-position model. The record is from RNAcentral.